Molecule: long non-coding RNA, 1074 nt
Filed under: Homo sapiens (human)
Lineage: Eukaryota; Metazoa; Chordata; Mammalia; Primates; Hominidae
Description: HSALNT0003622
Source: RNAcentral
GGGGUUUCAUCAUAUUGGCCAAGCUGGUCUUGAACUCCUGGCCUCAAGUGAUCUGCCCAUCUUGGCUUCCCAAAGUGCUGGGAUUACAGGCAUAAGCCACCAUGCUCAGCCCAACCUUAGCCAUCUGAACCUCAUUCCCAUCCCCCCCAAAAAACUGAAGCUAAUAAUGAUGUUAGAGCAACUUGCAGUUUACAGGAAAUAUAGACAAUGGAGAAAUAAUGUAAAUGAUCCAGGAGGCAGCCGACAGACAAAUUCAGAAUGUGAGACAUUCCACAGAACUCAUAUACAAUAUGUCGGUGGCAUAAAAAAGGGAGGUCUAAUUGUGGAGGCGACAUGGGUGUACACAUUUAACAAAAUUCAUCAGAAUGUACCCUUGAAAUCUACUGUAUGCAAAUUUUCCUCCAGUUUUAAAAAAGAAGAAAAGAGGCUGGGUAAGGUGGCUUACGCCUGUAAUCCCAGCACUUUGGGAGGCCAAGGUGGGCAAAUCACUUGAGCUCAAGAGUUCAAGACCAGCCUGGGCAACAAGCCAAAACCCCAUCUCUACAAAAAAUACAAAAUUAGCCAGGUGUGGUGGUGCGUGCCUGUGGUCCCCGCUAUUUGGGAGGCUGAAGUGGGAGGAUCAUUUGAGCGCAAGGAGGUCAAGGCUGCAGUGAACUGCAAUUGUGUCACUGCAUUCCAGCCUGGGCAACAGAGUGAGACCCUGUCUCAAAAAAAAGGGGGAGAGAUUUACCAACUGAAUGAAAUGUGUGGAACUUACAGGUAUUCUAAUUUCAAUAAACCAGUCAAAAAAGACAUUUUUGAAAGGACAAUGGGGGCCGGGUGUGGUGGCUCACACCUGUAAUCCCAGCACUUUGGGAGGCCGAGGCGGGCAGAUCACCUGAGGUCAGGAGUUUGAGACCAGCCUGGCCAACAUGGUGAAACCCCAUCUCUACUAAAAAUACAAAAAAAUUAGCCAGGCAUGGUGACAGGCGCCUCUAAUCCCAGCUACUUGGGAGGCUGAGGCAGGAGAGUCACUUGAACCCGGGAGGCAGAGGUUGCAGUGAGCCAAGAUCGUGCCACUGCACUCCAGCCUGG